Molecule: long non-coding RNA, 320 nt
Filed under: Capsella rubella
Lineage: Eukaryota; Viridiplantae; Streptophyta; Magnoliopsida; Brassicales; Brassicaceae
Description: long non-coding RNA (CRUB_LNC003877)
Source: RNAcentral
AGUUAUGUUUUUUUAUUUUGGUAUUUAAUAUAGAUAUUACUACCUCAUUUAGCGUAUCGUAUUUUUAUAUUUUGCAAAUAAUCAAUCAUAUCAUUUUGAUAAUACUCUAAAGGACCAAAUUAAUAUAAAUGGAUGGGUGUUACAUUUAGUUUUUUAUUUUUAUUUUUUGUUUGUUAAAACAUAUUUAGGAACACUUGACAACAUAUAUUAAAAUUAUUUAUGAACUUUUUAAAAUUACAUAAUCCAAAAUAUAUAUAGGGGAAAAUGUUGUUAGGAAGAUCUAUUAAUACUGAUGUGAAAAGAAAAAGAUCCAUUAAUAU